UGGGGAAUUUUGGACAAUGGGGGAAACCCUGAUCCAGCCAUCCCGCGUGUGCGAUGAAGGCCUUCGGGUUGUAAAGCACUUUUGGCAGGAAAGAAACGUCGCGGGUUAAUACCCCGCGAAACUGACGGUACCUGCAGAAUAAGCACCGGCUAACUACGUGCCAGCAGCCGCGGUAAUACGUAGGGUGCAAGCGUUAAUCGGAAUUACUGGGCGUAAAGCGUGCGCAGGCGGUUCGGAAAGAAAGAUGUGAAAUCCCAGAGCUUAACUUUGGAACUGCAUUUUUAACUACCGGGCUAGAGUGUGUCAGAGGGAGGUGGAAGUUCCGCGUGUAGCAGUGAAAUGCGUAGAUAUGCGGAGGAACACCGAUGGCGAAGGCAGCCUCCUGGGCAUAACACUGACGCUCAUGCACGAAAGCGUGGGGAGCAAACAGGAUUAGAUACCCUGGUAGUCCACGCCCUAAACGAUGUCAACUAGCUGUUGGGGCCUUCGGCCUUGGUAGCGCAGCUAACGCGUGAAGUUGACCGCCUGGGAGUACGGUC
This 539-nucleotide ribosomal RNA is filed under the name uncultured bacterium. RNAcentral's name for it is "partial 16S ribosomal RNA". It matches the Rfam family "Bacterial small subunit ribosomal RNA", at positions 355 to 887 of the family's 1533-position model. The record is from RNAcentral.